This 265-nucleotide ribosomal RNA is filed under the name uncultured prokaryote. RNAcentral's name for it is "partial 16S ribosomal RNA". It matches the Rfam family "Bacterial small subunit ribosomal RNA", at positions 524 to 788 of the family's 1533-position model. The record is from RNAcentral.
UACGUAGGUGGCAAGCGUUGUCCGGAAUUAUUGGGCGUAAAGCGCGCGCAGGCGGUUCCUUAAGUCUGAUGUGAAAGCCCACGGCUCAACCGUGGAGGGUCAUUGGAAACUGGGGAACUUGAGUGCAGAAGAGAAGAGUGGAAUUCCACGUGUAGCGGUGAAAUGCGUAGAGAUGUGGAGGAACACCAGUGGCGAAGGCGACUCUUUGGUCUGUAACUGACGCUGAGGAGCGAAAGCGUGGGGAGCAAACAGGAUUAGAUACCCU